GACAGAGGGUGCAAACGUUGUUCGGAAUUACUGGGCGUAAAGCGUGUGUAGGCGGCCAAGCAAGUCGGAUGUGAAAGCCCAGGGCUCAACCCUGGAAGUGCACUCGAUACUGCCUGGCUUGAGUAUCGGAGAGGUUGGUGGAAUUCUCGGUGUAGAGGUGAAAUUCGUAGAUAUCGAGAGGAACACCGGUGGCGAAGGCGGCCAACUGGACGAAUACUGACGCUGAGACACGAAAGCGUGGGGAGCAAACAGG
This 253-nucleotide ribosomal RNA is filed under the name uncultured bacterium. RNAcentral's name for it is "partial 16S ribosomal RNA". It matches the Rfam family "Bacterial small subunit ribosomal RNA", at positions 524 to 776 of the family's 1533-position model. The record is from RNAcentral.